GACGAACGCUGGCGGCGUGCUUAACACAUGCAAGUCGAACGGAAAGGCCCUGCUUUUGUGGGGUGCUCGAGUGGCGAACGGGUGAGUAACACGUGAGUAACCUGCGCUUGACUUUGGGAUAACUUAAGGAAACUGGGGCUAAUACCGGAUAGGAGCUCCUGCUGCAUGGUGGGGGUUGGAAAGUUUCGGCGGUUGGGGAUGGACUCGCGGCUUAUCAGCUUGUUGGUGGGGUAGUGGCUUACCAAGGCUUUGACGGGUAGCCGGCCUGAGAGGGUGACCGGCCCCAUUGGGACUGAGAUACGGCCCAGACUCCUACGGGAGGCAGCAGUGGGGAAUAUUGCACAAUGGGCGGAAGCCUGAUGCAGCCACGCCGCGUGCGGGAUGACGGCCUUCGGUUUGUAAACCGCUUUCGCCUGUGACGAAGCGUGAGUGACGGUAAUGGGUAAAGAAGCACCGGCUAACUACGUG
This 468-nucleotide ribosomal RNA is filed under the name uncultured bacterium. Its description in RNAcentral is "partial 16S ribosomal RNA". It matches the Rfam family "Bacterial small subunit ribosomal RNA", at positions 28 to 507 of the family's 1533-position model. The record is from RNAcentral.